RNAcentral lists this ribosomal RNA (253 nucleotides) under uncultured bacterium. RNAcentral's name for it is "partial 16S ribosomal RNA". It matches the Rfam family "Bacterial small subunit ribosomal RNA", at positions 524 to 776 of the family's 1533-position model. The record is from RNAcentral.
UCCGGAGGGGGCAAUCGUUGUUCGGAAUUACUGGGCGUAAAGGGCGUCUAGGCGGCUAUUCAAGUCAGGGGUGAAAGCCCGGGGCUCAACCCCGGAACUGCCUUUGAAACUGGAUAGCUAGGGUUUGGUAGAGGUAGGUGGAAUACCCAGUGUAGAGGUGAAAUUCGUAGAUAUUGGGUAGAACACCGAUGGCGAAGGCAGCUUACUGGGCCAAUACCGACGCUGAAGCGCGAAAGCGUGGGGAGCAAACAGG